Molecule: non-coding RNA, 254 nt
Filed under: Blautia sp.
Lineage: Bacteria; Bacillati; Bacillota; Clostridia; Lachnospirales; Lachnospiraceae
Description: T-box sequence
Rfam family: T-box leader
About the family: Uncharged tRNA acts as the effector for transcription antitermination of genes in the T-box leader family.
Source: RNAcentral
CGAAAUGCUUAGAUGAGGAUGAGUACAUAUCGCUUUGGAGCACAGAGAGCUGCUGGCCGGUGGAAAGCAGCGGAAGGAGGAUAUGGAACUGCCCUCGGAGCAUCUGUCCGAAAUGAAUGAGAGUAGGCGCAGACGGGUUCCCGCCGUUAAAAGGGAUGGAUAUAAGGCUCCCCGGGAGUCCGUAUCUCAGAGUGUAUGAGGAAACUCAUAAAUAAGAGUGGUACCGCGCAGACUAAUCGUCUUUCGUCUCUUGC